Non-coding RNA from Myotis lucifugus (little brown bat), 76 nucleotides. The record is from Rfam. NCBI's taxonomy places the organism in Eukaryota, Metazoa, Chordata, Mammalia, Chiroptera, Vespertilionidae.
GAGACACCCUUCUGGGGCAAGACUUGCUUCAGUGGGGCUUUGGUGCUCACUGAGUCUGCCCCCUGAAUUUGUCCCU